This is a long non-coding RNA of Diabrotica virgifera virgifera (western corn rootworm), 230 nucleotides long. RefSeq lists it as uncharacterized. Lineage: Eukaryota; Metazoa; Arthropoda; Insecta; Coleoptera; Chrysomelidae. The record is from RefSeq and is a predicted model, not a curated record. The transcript is spliced from 2 exons.
GGAGAACUACCCCUGACGCUGAAGUUGGAGCAAUCAAACACUGAGCCAGGACAUGAUGACAUCGAAGAAUCUCAGCACAAUGCGGAAGAAUAUGUAUCGGGACUCAUCGCCACCGGAGAGACAGAUCCAGGACCUUCUAAAAGACAGCGGCUCAUAUAAUUUUAUAUUAUACUAUUAUACAACAUUUUGUAUUUUAAUUUUGGAAUACUAAUAAUCACGAUAUUUUAAGU